RNAcentral lists this long non-coding RNA (961 nucleotides) under Fukomys damarensis (Damara mole-rat). RNAcentral describes it as "lncRNA (ENSFDAG00000031861.1)". Lineage: Eukaryota; Metazoa; Chordata; Mammalia; Rodentia; Bathyergidae. The record is from RNAcentral.
CAACUGACCAAGGCAGGACUGCUCCGAGGUUCACCUGCAAUCCCCACUGGAGAUCCUUGGACUGGGUACUGAUUGUGGCCCCGUGUUAUAGACUGAGAAACUGAGGUCUGAGAGCUUAGGGGCCACACAACUCAUACGUGGUAGAAUCAAGAGUUGAAUCCACAGCUUUAAUUUCUGAGCGAGUGUUCUGCAUUCCUACACUAGGCCAUAAGUGAUUCAAUUUCCAGCCCACUAUAUCAGUCCUCUCUGCUCUGCUCCUUCUGUAAAUAAUACAGUUCAUAUGCCCUAUGCUUUCCGGCCUUCUGGACUGUCUCCUUUACCUGCUCUGCCCCUCAGCUUUACCUCCAACUUUGCCAUUCUACGCUGAUUCUGUGUACACAAAAACACUUCCUACCCUCUCCUGGGCCCCUUUGGUAUUUAGUUCUCCUUCGUUGUUUUUAAAGUACGUCCCCAGAUCAGCAGCUUCAGCAUGAGCUCCUACCUAAGACCUGCUGAAUCAGAAACUGGGCACAGAGCCCGGUGAUCUGUUUUAACAAGCCCUCCAGUGAGUCUGAUGCAUGACAGGCUUGAGAACCACUGGGCUCCCUCCUGCUUCUCUGGACCCCAACAAGUCUUGGCGACAAUUAACGAGCCCACGAAUGCGGGUAGAGGAGGCACUGAGCUGGGACCAGAAGAGCGGAUGGAAUCACUUGCGAAACACUAAUAAAUCUGCUGGCCCAGCUGUUCCUCAUCUGAUGAUUCUGCAGGGAAAGUGUGAAAUGGUAGAGAUGUCCAUGGGCCUGGGGGAGCCCUUCAGAGGCAAACAGUUCUCCCAAAGCCCCUGAAGCUGGGGUGGGAAGCAUCUGGAAAUAUCUGAGGGGCACUCACUGGUGUCAGGAGGCCUGGGCCCCCAGAGGCCGCAUACAUGCAUGGGGUGUGCCUGGGAACACAAGGGGUGGCCAAGUCCCAUCUCCCAGAGCAC